RNAcentral lists this ribosomal RNA (218 nucleotides) under uncultured bacterium. RNAcentral's name for it is "partial 16S ribosomal RNA". It matches the Rfam family "Bacterial small subunit ribosomal RNA", at positions 114 to 334 of the family's 1533-position model. The record is from RNAcentral.
UGCAUAGGAAAUUGCCUUGAAGUGGGGGAUAGCCCGGAGAAAUCCGGAUUAAUACCGCAUAUGCUCUACGGAGCAAAGUGGGCCUCUGAUUUAAGCUCAUGCUUUGAGAUAUGCCUAUGUCGGAUUAGCUAGUUGGUGGGGUAAAAGCCUACCAAGGCGACGAUCCGUAGCUGGUUUGAGAGGAUGAUCAGCCACACUGGGACUGAGACACGGCCCAG